UGCGGUAACAAGCGUGCGGAUAUUUAAUACCUGCACACUUUUCAUUACCGCACCCUGCAUUCAGUGUAUACGAUUUACCUGCACCAAUUUGUCAAGAAAAAACACCGAGCUAUGAUACAAUAUGUAUUUAAACAACGGAUUAUUUAAUAUGAUUUCGAUAGAAUUUCUAGUUUUACAUUUCGUUUGAUAGAUAUUGAGACAUUUCAAUGAUCUAAUUCAAAAGAUACGUUUUAAACUAGUAUGUACUUCUUAAUUAACUGAUUUCAUAUCUAAUCUGGUUGCACAACCAAGACAGAAGAAGGAAGAUAUACAGUAUUGAUUAAUGUGCGCACGCAUACACGCGCGCUAUAACAUGUCUCGAAAUACAAACGACAUGUCUUUCCUCGCUUAAACUUACUCGUGAGAACACUUGAAGCGGAAUUAGUGAUUUCGUUAUACAGCUCAGUUAAUACAAGAGGAAAAACAGAUAAUGGCAGACUGUCCUUACCGAGAUUCGCAGGGACACUUUCUACCAAAUACUAUGUCAGGCCAAGAGGCUUUGGACCGUGGUGUGGCCGACAAAUAUGUAUUUUCACCUAAAUAUGAAGGCACACCAGAAAAUGCAGUAGCAUCAAUCGACAAACAUAAUCCCUAUCAAUACGGUGACGGCCCAAAGAAAGAUCCUGCUCAUAUACCUACCGGAGACAAAUUUGUCCCUCAGAAAGUGUGUGACAAAUACAAGAACUAAUUAAUCUAAAAAUAAACAUUCUUUUCUUAUUGAUGAAACAAUCCAUAGUUCUCGUGUAAUCCCCUAGUACUUAAUUUAUGCGAACUGGUAUUGUUACACUGAAUGGAUUGAAAAGGAAACGUUAUUUAUGCAAUUUGACUUCAUACUAUCAAAAGGAAACAAAUAUUUGAUGAUUUAUUCAAAUUUUAUUAUCUUAACGUUGACCAGUGAAAAUGCAAGCAAAGAAAAUAAAGUUCUUUUCUGUUCUGA
Molecule: long non-coding RNA, 976 nt
Organism: Mercenaria mercenaria
Lineage: Eukaryota; Metazoa; Mollusca; Bivalvia; Venerida; Veneridae
Exons: 2
Source: RefSeq, a predicted model, not a curated record